UGGUGGAGUGAUUUGUCUGGUUAAUUUCGAUAACGAGCGAGACCUCAGCAUACUAAUUAGAUAUGAGAAUCUCUCAUGAUUCUUCAUUCCAAAUAUCUUCUUAGAGGGACUAUCGGUGCGUAGCCGAUGGAAGGUUGAGGCAAUAACA
This 148-nucleotide ribosomal RNA is filed under the name uncultured eukaryote. Its description in RNAcentral is "partial 18S ribosomal RNA". It matches the Rfam family "Eukaryotic small subunit ribosomal RNA", at positions 1299 to 1458 of the family's 1831-position model. The record is from RNAcentral.